GUUUCAGAUGAUUGCACACUGAGGAUGAAUCUUCUCCAGUGAGAUACUAAUGCAAGAUGUUUUGGAGUCUCAUGCUUGGAGACAUUCAAAAUACACUGCAGAAAACCCUGACCAAUGGUCUUGCUUGACCCUUCUUGGAGCAGGGAUUCAAACUGGAAAAACCUCUGGAAAUCCCUCCCAGCCUCAGCCAUUCUGUGACCCUGUGGAGUCAGCAGAUUGUUUUGUGUAAAACCACAGUACCAAAGCACUCCUGUGGAGUUGGGAGACAUUUGGUGAAGUCAUUGCUGAUGCUCUUUCAGUUUUUAAGAGGUUCAGACUAACACCUCCCUUCUUUUAG
Molecule: long non-coding RNA, 337 nt
Organism: Poecile atricapillus (Black-capped chickadee)
Lineage: Eukaryota; Metazoa; Chordata; Aves; Passeriformes; Paridae
Exons: 3
Source: RefSeq, a predicted model, not a curated record